Long non-coding RNA from Manihot esculenta (cassava), 689 nucleotides. RefSeq lists it as uncharacterized. The transcript has 2 exons. The record is from RefSeq and is a predicted model, not a curated record. Lineage: Eukaryota; Viridiplantae; Streptophyta; Magnoliopsida; Malpighiales; Euphorbiaceae.
AUGAGUAAAUUAAACUUCUUCCAUGGUUAAAUUAAGUAUUAUGGCUCAUGUAUAAUUGUAUAUAUUAUAAAAAAAUACAUAAAAAAAUAAAAUAAAAUUUCCGACUGGUUUAUUAAAAUGGGUGCUGUAUUAUUCUCGGUCAAGAUCCAAACCCAACACCGGAUCCGGAUCCGGAUCCGGAUCAUUUACUGCAAUCGUAGAAAACUGAUGGACCGUAGCCGGACGGAGGGAAUAUAUCCCCCACAAUCCUUCAGGCACAGAAGCAUACAUUUUAAUCUUCUAUUCAAAAACUAAUCACCUGGAAAAUCUAUAGGGUUAUGGAAGCGAAGCAACUACUCAAGGACAAGAAGUUCUGGUUUGCUUCUUUCAUCAUUGCCUGGGCUGCUGCUCUACAGGGGCAUAUGAUGUGGUUACAGAGACAGGACUCCUUCAAGCAGAAGUUUGCGACUCUGAACAACCAAGGCGAUGAUGAUAGUGAAAACAAUUCCCGAGAGUGACCCACGUAAGCUUCACGGUUCAAAACUUUGGCAAAGGAGUGAAAUCCGAAAUUGUACUAGUGAAGAAACUAAUUCAGAAUUCAGACCUCUGUAUGUAAAUAAAAUGCAAUUCUUGAAUUUCAAAUUAUUGUUGAAACUUGCUUGAACAUGAAUAACUAUUUUGAUUCAUAAUGGUAUCUGUUUUUGCAUUAA